UUGAUCCUGGCUCAGGACGAACGCUGGCGGCGUGGUUUAGGCAUGCAAGUCGAACGCGAAAGAUUACUUCGGUAAAUUGAGUAGAGUGGCGAACGGGUGAGUAAUACGUACGAAUCUACCUUAAAGACAGGGAUAGUCCCGGGAAACUGGGUUUAAUACCUGAUGGUAUCCGGCUUUGCCGGAUUAAAGACGGCCUCUAUUUAUAAGCUGUUACUUUUAGAUGAGCGUGCGCUCCAUUAGUUAGUUGGUAAGGUAAGAGCUUACCAAGGCGAUGAUGGAUAGGCGUCCUUAACGGGUGGUCGCCCACACUGGGAUUGAGAUACGGCCCAGACUCCUACGGGAGGCAGCAGUCGAGAAUCGUCUACAAUGAACGCAAGUUUGAUAGUGCGACGCCGCGUGAAUGAAGAAGCAUUUCGGUGUGUAAAAUUCUUUUAUAUAAGAACAGUGCAUGUAUGGUGAAUAAUUAUACGUGAGAGAUAGUACUAUAUGAAUAAGCUCCGGCUAACUUCGUGCCAGCAGCCGCGGUAAUACGAAGGGAGCAAGCGUUGUCCGGAAUUACUAGGUGUAAAGGGUAAGUAGGCGGAAAUUUAAGUCUCCGGUUAAAUCUUCGGGCUCAACCCGAAAUCUGCCUGAGAUACUGGAUUUCUAGAGUAAAGCAGAUGAAGGCGGAAUUCCUGGAGUAGCGGUGGAAUGCGUAGAUAUCAGGAAGAACACCCAUAGCGAAGGCAGCUUUCAAUGCUAUUACUGACGCUCAAUUACGAAGGUGCGGGUAUCGAACAGGAUUAGAUACCCUGGUAGUCCGCACAGUAAACGAUAUGUACUUGAUAUCGGAUGUCGAAAAUUCAGUGUCGUAAGCUAAACGCGUUAAGUACAUCACCUGGGGACUAACGGCCGCA
RNAcentral lists this ribosomal RNA (896 nucleotides) under uncultured organism. RNAcentral describes it as "bacterial SSU rRNA". It matches the Rfam family "Bacterial small subunit ribosomal RNA", at positions 13 to 890 of the family's 1533-position model. The record is from RNAcentral.